This 726-nucleotide ribosomal RNA is filed under the name Triticum aestivum (bread wheat). RNAcentral describes it as "partial small subunit ribosomal RNA". The record is from RNAcentral. Lineage: Eukaryota; Viridiplantae; Streptophyta; Magnoliopsida; Poales; Poaceae.
AUGGCUGGCGAAGGCAUCUCGAUAGCUGAAUUUAUGGAGUACGACUCGAUGGUCAGGCAGACAUUUAAAAGUGAGAACGAAGCGUACAAGUUCUACUUAGGGUAUGCGAAGAACAAAGGGUUUGGUGUUCGAAAGGGUGAUCUGAAAUAUAAGGGAAACAAAGAAAAUGCAUACCGGAGGACGUUUGUGUGUUGCAAACAAGGAUAUCGUGACGUAAAGCACUUUGAUGAAACCGACAAGAAAAGGACACCAAGGGCACUCUCUCGGUGUGGUUGUCCUGCUCUUUUGCAGGUUGAGCUUCAAGCAAGCACUGGGUUGUGGUUUGUAAAGAAUUUUGUUGACCAACAUAGCCAUCCAUUCAUAAAUCCUGAGUUGUCACCUUUCUUGUGGUCUCAUCGUGGCAUGACCGAUCCACAGAAGGCGGAUGUCAUUGAGUACUCGGUUGGUGGACUUCGCACACAUCAGAUAAUGGAUGUGAUGGAGAAGCAGACUAGUGGUUUGGGCAAGGUUGGAUUUAUAUCUCGCGAUCUGUAUAACCAUGUCGCGUUGGAGAAGAAGAAAAAGAUAGAAGAUACACCACAGACAGUGAUGGGCAUCUGCAGAACAUAUUCUGGGCAGACGCCCAAUCUCGCUUGGACUAUGUUGCAUUUGGUGGUGUGGUGGUGUUUGACAGCACAUACUGGUCAAACAAAUAUAGGUUGCCAUUUGUUCCAUUUGUGGGGCUGA